AUUGAACGCUGGCGGUAUGCUUUACACAUGCAAGUCGAGCGGCAGCACGGGGGCAACUCUGGUGUAGAGCGGCGAACGGGCGAGUAAUACAUCGGAACAUGCCCAUCUGCGGGGGCUAACACUUCGAAAGAAGUGCUCAUACCGCAUACGUCCAGAGGGAGAACGCGGGGGAUCGCAAGAUCUCGCGCGCUUGCAGUGUCCGAUGUCAGAUUAGCUAGUUGGUGGGGUAAAGGCCUACCAAGGCAACGAUCUGUAGCUGGUCUGAGAGGAUGAUCAGCCACACUGGAACUGAGACACGGCCCAGACUCCUACGGGAGGCAGCAGUGGGGAAUUUUGGACAAUGGGCGCAAGCCUGAUCCAGCCAUACCGCGUGAGUGAAGGAGGCCUUCGGGUUGUAAAGCUCUUUUGGCAGGAAAGAAACGCCGAGCGCUAACAUAGCGUGCUAAUGACGGUACCUAAAGAAGAAGCACCGGCUAACUACGUG
This 484-nucleotide ribosomal RNA is filed under the name uncultured bacterium. RNAcentral describes it as "partial 16S ribosomal RNA". It matches the Rfam family "Bacterial small subunit ribosomal RNA", at positions 30 to 507 of the family's 1533-position model. The record is from RNAcentral.